CGGCUUUUCUCGCGUUCUGAGAGCGUUAAUUCUCUAGUUAAACUACCGCCUUCUGAGAUCGCGAUUACAGCUGAU
RNAcentral lists this microRNA precursor (75 nucleotides) under Echinococcus multilocularis. RNAcentral describes it as "bantam stem-loop (emu-bantam)". Its record names the gene emu-bantam. The record is from miRBase by way of RNAcentral. Lineage: Eukaryota; Metazoa; Platyhelminthes; Cestoda; Cyclophyllidea; Taeniidae.